RNAcentral lists this small RNA (96 nucleotides) under Marmota monax (woodchuck). Lineage: Eukaryota; Metazoa; Chordata; Mammalia; Rodentia; Sciuridae. The record is from RNAcentral.
UUCUUUGUUAAUUGUCAGCUGCUUUUAUCAAAUUCCAGACCAUUAUGUAGCAAACACUAAAACAAAACACAGACAUUAUGUUUGAACAUCUGGACU